This 176-nucleotide ribosomal RNA is filed under the name uncultured bacterium. RNAcentral's name for it is "partial 16S ribosomal RNA". It matches the Rfam family "Bacterial small subunit ribosomal RNA", at positions 1311 to 1500 of the family's 1533-position model. The record is from RNAcentral.
UACGGCUGCAUGAAGCUGGAAUCGCUAGUAAUCGCAGAUCAGAAUGCUGCGGUGAAUACGUUCCCGGGUCUUGUACACACCGCCCGUCACACCAUGGGAGUUGAGAAUACCCGAAGCCCAUGUCAAAGUGGUCGAAGGUAGGCUUGAUGAUUGGGGUGAAGUCGUAACAAGGUAUC